Molecule: ribosomal RNA, 215 nt
Filed under: uncultured prokaryote
Description: partial 16S ribosomal RNA
Rfam family: Bacterial small subunit ribosomal RNA
Source: RNAcentral
CACGUAGGGCGCAAGCGUUGUCCGGAAUUAUUGGGCGUAAAGAGCUCGUAGGCGGCCUGUUGCGUCCGCUGUGAAAGCCCGGGGCUUAACCCCGGGUCUGCAGUGGAUACGGGCAGGCUAGAGGUAGGCAGGGGAGAAUGGAAUUCCCGGUGUAGCGGUGAAAUGCGCAGAUAUCGGGAGGAACACCGGUGGCGAAGGCGGCUCACUGGCUCGUA